RNAcentral lists this long non-coding RNA (460 nucleotides) under Salvia miltiorrhiza (redroot sage). RNAcentral's name for it is "long non-coding RNA (SMIL_LNC003157)". Lineage: Eukaryota; Viridiplantae; Streptophyta; Magnoliopsida; Lamiales; Lamiaceae. The record is from RNAcentral.
CUAGAUUUUAUCAAGAUUUGAGUGCUUUGCUUUUGGAACUAGAAAUUCUUGAAGUUCACUUGUUAAUUAUUCACUAAAUCACACUUGAGUACCUAAGGGCUGUCUCCCUCAAUUAGGAUUCUUGAAUUGCUGUAUUUUUAGUGUGUUUUUGAGGCAGUCUGCAUUCAUGUUUUUUGAUAGAAUCAAUGGCUUUCUAUGAGAUCGAGCAUGGAAUUAUGAUUACUUGCAUCAUGAGAGAUAGAGCAUUUUAAUGUAGAAAUUUACGUUACACGACCUCAUUGAGCUUACCCGUUGCUUUGUUAAAAUUGCAGAGUAUCCUAGCCAUCAUCAAGUUCAGAUGGAACACAAUCAAUCAUCGGUUGGUUUCAAGUCUUUUUCUUGCAGUUCAUGUUCGUAUCACGUCCCUCCCAAAUCCACCAAUACAAAAAACGUUAUAUGGUCGCCUUGAAGCAUCAUAACU